AUAACUCACUGCAGCCUUAACUUGGGCAUGUCAGCACUUAAUAUUUCCCGCUAAUGUUACAUCUGGAGAUGUUCAGAUAUUAACCACAGAACUGAGGGCAACCCUUAAUCAUUUGGCAAAUACUUGAAGGAAGAGAGGCUACUUACCGAAAGACACCAAAUAACACAAGUGAAUGCAAAGGUUAACAAAGUUAGUGGACCAAACAAACCUGAUACUGAGAACGAACUUUCACAUGCAGCAAGCAAAUAAACUUAUCUUUCCCUGACUGAUUUGUACAGAAGAGCUGAGAUACCAAAAUAUUAAACAUUAUUAACUACAUAAUAUCUAUUUAUAGUUUAAAGAAAUGAAGCAGAAAGAAAACAUCACCUUUUUAAUUGCAAAUCCAUAACAAUGUUCUGUUGAUCAUGCUGGAAGAAUGGUAGAAAAAGGAACUACACUUAUUACAAUUCAAAGUAUUUUCAUUAGAUCAAGACUGGAGAUUCUGUGGCCCAUUUAGAUAUUGCUGAAUAAAAUUCCCAGGAGCCAAUAUGAACAGUGAUAAGGAUACUUGGAGAUGCAGCUUACUAGGAUUUGGAGGACAACAGGCUUCUUGCUUCAGUAUAAAUAAGCUGUGCUUGCUAUCACCCUUAGUCAUACCAUCCAUCAUCCAGCUACUGAAGCCAACUCCCUGCAACAAAGAGACACUUGU
Molecule: long non-coding RNA, 688 nt
Organism: Candoia aspera
Lineage: Eukaryota; Metazoa; Chordata; Lepidosauria; Squamata; Candoiidae
Exons: 5
Source: RefSeq, a predicted model, not a curated record